RNAcentral lists this ribosomal RNA (153 nucleotides) under Triticum aestivum (bread wheat). RNAcentral describes it as "partial small subunit ribosomal RNA". Lineage: Eukaryota; Viridiplantae; Streptophyta; Magnoliopsida; Poales; Poaceae. The record is from RNAcentral.
AUGGUGUUUGGGCCACUUCCACCGGUGCUCCGCGGGUUGUCGUUUCACGAGAGCAAUGACUGGGAGAACAAGAUGAUGAACGUCACCGGUGCUUCGCUCGCGUGCAUCGCGCUGCUUGCGCUCGGGACGUGCAUGUCCACAAAAGAGCCAUGA